Molecule: ribosomal RNA, 279 nt
Filed under: uncultured bacterium
Lineage: Bacteria
Description: partial 16S ribosomal RNA
Rfam family: Bacterial small subunit ribosomal RNA
Source: RNAcentral
UGCCAGCAGCCACGGUAAGACGAACCGUCCGAACGUUAUUCGGUAUCACUGGGCUUAAAGAGUACGUAGGCUGCCUUGAAGGUGAGAUGUGAAAUCCCAUGGCCUAACCAUGGAACUGCAUUUCAAACCACAAGGCUUGAGGGAGACAGGGGUAAGCGGAACUGAUGGUGGAGCGGUGAAAUGCGUUGAUAUCAUCAGGAACACCGGUGGCGAAGGCGGCUUACUGGGUCUCUUCUGACGCUGAGGUACGAAAGCUAGGGUAGCGAACGGGAUUAGAUA